This is a long non-coding RNA of Aphis gossypii (cotton aphid), 2071 nucleotides long. RefSeq lists it as uncharacterized. The record is from RefSeq and is a predicted model, not a curated record. NCBI's taxonomy places the organism in Eukaryota, Metazoa, Arthropoda, Insecta, Hemiptera, Aphididae. The transcript is spliced from 4 exons.
AUAGAAGUCUAUAUUAUCGUAAAAAAAGAUUUUAUACCUAUCUAACUCAUUAUUUCAUACUUGUACAAAACUUUUUAUAGUGUGGUGUUGUGUUUUAAAUCGUAAGAAAUCAAAUUGUAAAAAUACAAAUAUAAAACUAUUUUUUUCUUUACCAACAAAUGAAAAUAGGAUUUUCCUCGAUUUUUUACAUGUUAUUGUUAAUAUGUACUUAGAAUGUAUCCAAUCAACAGUAUAAUAAAUCAAUGAUUGAAAAAAUGAAGACAAUAAUAAUUGGCAACUGUUUUUUGUUCAAAAUUCGAUUGUCUGCACAGCCAUCGAUGCGAUACGUAUACCAUCUACAUAAUCAUGAAAUUUAAGCGGACAAGCUUAAGUAACACAAAUAAGGUGUUCGUAUAUAAUAUAAGUCACGCCGAGGACUGCCGAUUUUUUUCCGUCAAUUACACGAUCGCCGCACGUCGCACGGUUAAUGUAUCAUAAAAAAAUGUAAUAUAUUAUAAUACGAUAUUAUAGUUGAUGAGCUGUAUACAUAUUAUAUAAAAUGACAAGAGGACUUUCAAGAUUCAAAAGAGGUAUAGGUAACAGUCAGAUUUAAGAUAUUUGAUGCCUGAGGCCAAUAAAAAUGCAGCUCCCUUACAUAUAAUAUGGAGCUAUGCGAUGGGCCGAGUGUCACAUAAAACAUAAUGUAUAAAUACAAAUCAAAAAGUAAGCUAAGUAUAUUUUUAUAUCACAAAUAUUUUAACUGAAAUCAUUGUCUUAAUAUAUAUUUAUAUACUGUAUAGUAUCUAUAGGCUAUAGAACAUCUCAAUAGUAUGCUUAAACAUAAAUUAAAAAUCUCUUUAUAUUAAUUUAGUGGAAAAAUAAUGUUUCUGAAAAAUUGGAAAUUUAAAUUAUAUUAUCGUACUUCAAUUUAACAAUAAGAUAAUAUACAAUUAUCAUCGGUAAUCGACCGAUAAAUUGAUAAAGACUUAUCAAAUACCUAUUUAAAAGAUGUCAAUAACUCCGAAAAAAAUAGUCUACAUUAAAUACUUAUUAAAUAAGUAAUUUGUUAUAUUAUUUUUUUUUUUUUGUCAAUGGAGGUUUGGAAGUAUGUUAUCAUUUAUCCAUAUUUUAUGUUCAUGGAUUUUUUUUUUACAUAAUCUCAAGAGCGCGCCCUCAUACCAACAGCACCUUGGGCAAGGAUACCCACUAGCUCCCCCCUAGAUCCGUACAGUGACAGUGUUCGAAUAAGCUUCUGGUCAGAUUAUCGUCACCCGGUGAUGAGUCGAUAAUCGGUCUUGAAAAAAAGAUUAAUAAUCGACGCGCCGUCGAGAAAACCUUGUCAAACUCGACUGCAAAAUUGGUUCGUAUAUAUGCAGUGCACAACACACUGCAACAACAAUAAUGGACCCCCGGCCGGGUUUUAAUGUCGUUAAUUAUUACGUCUCUCGUACUCAACAACAUAAUAUGUAUAUAUAUAUAAUAUACUUUACGUAAAAACACACGUGCACCGGUUGUUAUUGGUAUGUGUGUAUACGCGUAUGUGACUCAAACGUGGCUGUGGUAUGUGCAUUGAACGCGAAAUAAAAUGUGUACCGGGAACCCUGGAAAAAAGGGGUAAACCGCAUCUGAUGGUAAUUAAUCGUCAGCCAUCCAACGUAUGAAUCCAUAUGAUAGUUUGAUAUAUUAACAUUAUGAUAUUAAAAUAUUUUAAUACGAUGUAGCUAUAUAAUAUGUAGUGUAUAUUAUGAUAAAAAUAUUAAAUACGACUGCGACCGUAUUCAAAUAUUACUAUAAUAUUUUACAUAUAAUUGACGUUCAUCCUUGUACGGUUAUGAUAUCUGCGAAGCAACUUCACGAAUAACCAUUGCUAAAAUAUUAACGUAAUAUAUUAUAUUUAUAUUAUGUAUAAUAUAGUAUACACAUUGUACCCAUGACCAUGUUAUGGUCUUUUAACUUUUUCUUUUCUUUUAGUGACUUGGUUUGAAGUUUAAAUGCCAAGUUUGUUGAGUUACACUGAUAAAACUUCAAUGAAAUAUGCAAUUUAAAAUUAAAGUAAUGCGAUAUUUACAAAAAGUAUUUAAGAAUCACUUAA